Podarcis lilfordi (Lilford's wall lizard) is the source of this 75-nucleotide non-coding RNA. Lineage: Eukaryota; Metazoa; Chordata; Lepidosauria; Squamata; Lacertidae. The record is from the annotation of a GenBank genome assembly.
AAUCCUGGAACUCAAGUCGGUAGAGCAUGAGUCUCUUGAUCUCAACGUUGUGGGUUCGAGCCCCACAUUGGGUUA